ACGGGUGAGUAACACGUGGGUAAUCUACCCUUUGGUGGGGAAUAACUCUGGGAAACCGGAGCUAAUACCGCAUAAUCCCGAGAGGGAAAAGCAGCAAUGCGCCGAAGGAGGAGCCCGCGGCCGAUUAGCCAGUUGGUAGGGUAAUGGCCUACCAAAGCAAAGAUCGGUAGCCGGCCUGAGAGGGCACACGGCCACACUGGCACUGAAACACGGGCCAGACUCCUACGGGAGGCAGCAGUGGGGAAUCUUGCACAAUGGGGGAAACCCUGAUGCAGCGACGCCGCGUGAGCGAUGAAGCCCUUCGGGGUGUAAAGCUCUUUCGGCAGGGAAGAUUAUGACGGUACCUGCAGAAGCAGCUGCGGCUAACUACGUGCCAGCAGCCGCGG
This 386-nucleotide ribosomal RNA is filed under the name uncultured bacterium. Its description in RNAcentral is "bacterial SSU rRNA". It matches the Rfam family "Bacterial small subunit ribosomal RNA", at positions 102 to 520 of the family's 1533-position model. The record is from RNAcentral.